RNAcentral lists this ribosomal RNA (62 nucleotides) under uncultured organism. RNAcentral's name for it is "partial 16S ribosomal RNA". The record is from RNAcentral.
AGGGCUUGACAUGUGAGGAAUCUGCCAGAAACGGUGGAGUGCUCGCAAGAGAGCCUCAACAC